CCUACGGGGGGCUGCAGUGGGGAAUAUUGGACAAUGGGCGAAAGCCUGAUCCAGCCAUGCCGCGUGUGUGAAGAAGGCCUUCGGGUUGUAAAGCACUUUCAGUGGGGAAGAAAGCCUUGGGGCUAAUACCCUCGAGGAAGGACAUCACCCACAGAAGAAGCACCGGCUAACUCCGUGCCAGCAGCCGCGGUAAUACGGAGGGUGCGAGCGUUAAUCGGAAUUACUGGGCGUAAAGCGCGCGUAGGCGGUCUGAUAAGCCGGUUGUGAAAGCCCCGGGCUCAACCUGGGAACGGCAUCCGGAACUGUCAGGCUAGAGUGCAGGAGAGGAAGGUAGAAUUCCCGGUGUAGCGGUGAAAUGCGUAGAGAUCGGGAGGAAUACCAGUGGCGAAGGCGGCCUUCUGGACUGACACUGACGCUGAGGUGCGAAAGCGUGGGUAGCAAACAGGAUUAGAUACCCGGAGUC
Molecule: ribosomal RNA, 463 nt
Filed under: Vreelandella stevensii
Lineage: Bacteria; Pseudomonadati; Pseudomonadota; Gammaproteobacteria; Oceanospirillales; Halomonadaceae
Description: partial 16S ribosomal RNA
Rfam family: Bacterial small subunit ribosomal RNA
Source: RNAcentral